GGCUGGGUAGCUCAGUCGGUAGAGCAGAGGACUGAAAAUCCUUGUGUCGGCGGUUCAAUUCCGCCCCCAGCCACCA
Molecule: transfer RNA, 76 nt
Filed under: Verrucomicrobiota bacterium
Lineage: Bacteria; Pseudomonadati; Verrucomicrobiota
Also listed under: 4 other names
Description: tRNA-Phe
Rfam family: tRNA
About the family: Transfer RNA (tRNA) molecules are approximately 80 nucleotides in length.
Source: RNAcentral